AAAAAAUAAACAAGAUAUUCGCAUUUUGAGCCUCAAAAUCUUCUUUUAGUCUAUAUUGAAACCAUUCUGAAGCGUACGAAAAGUAAAAAUAUGUUUAGUAUUGAUGUUUAACAUCCAGAGUAAGCACAUGACGUCACAUUGUUUAGAUGCUAAAGACAAUGCAACAGUUUCGCGGACUUUUUCAUUUAUGCCAUUUUUAAGCCAAA
This 206-nucleotide long non-coding RNA is filed under the name Mytilus galloprovincialis (Mediterranean mussel). Lineage: Eukaryota; Metazoa; Mollusca; Bivalvia; Mytilida; Mytilidae. The record is from RNAcentral.